Oryza glumipatula is the source of this 205-nucleotide non-coding RNA. NCBI's taxonomy places the organism in Eukaryota, Viridiplantae, Streptophyta, Magnoliopsida, Poales, Poaceae. The record is from Rfam.
AAAAAGUCAAACCACGAAUUUCCGUGUCCAACUUUAACUGUACAUCUUAUAUGAAAUUUUUUUAUAAUUCGUAUUUUCAUUAUUGUUAGAUGAUAAAAUAUGAUUAAUAUUUUAUACGCGACUUGUCUUUUUAAUUUUUUUAUAAUUUUUUUAAAUAAGAUGGACGGUCAAACGUUAGGUACGGAAAUCAAGGUUUGUCUUUUUU